This is a non-coding RNA of Acanthosepion pharaonis, 87 nucleotides long. Lineage: Eukaryota; Metazoa; Mollusca; Cephalopoda; Sepiida; Sepiidae. The record is from the annotation of a GenBank genome assembly.
CGUUGAAACACCGGUUCUCGUACGAUCACUUAAGUUAAGCAACAUCGAGCCUGGUCAGUAUCUCGGUGGGUGACCGCUUCGGAGAGC